AAACUGGUUCCUUUAGGAACCACCAAAUACAAAAAAGAAUCUAAA
This 45-nucleotide non-coding RNA is filed under the name Paramuricea clavata. It matches the Rfam family "Histone 3' UTR stem-loop". From Rfam's summary of the family: The mRNAs of metazoan histone genes lack a poly-A tail. 3' end processing occurs at a site between a highly conserved stem-loop (modelled by this family) and a purine rich region around 20 nts downstream (the histone downstream element, or HDE). Lineage: Eukaryota; Metazoa; Cnidaria; Anthozoa; Malacalcyonacea; Plexauridae. The record is from RNAcentral.